Molecule: long non-coding RNA, 1974 nt
Organism: Anas platyrhynchos (mallard)
Lineage: Eukaryota; Metazoa; Chordata; Aves; Anseriformes; Anatidae
Source: RefSeq, a predicted model, not a curated record
CCUUAGAAUUUGUAUGUCUCAUCUAAGGAGAUACCGUAUGUUCUUACCAUUAUCUGUAAAGUUUGUUUUUUCUCCUUUUCAAUAUAAAGUUGUUAAUUUAAAGUUUUUAUUUUAUUUUAUUUAUUUAUUAUGAAUCAUUAAAUAGCAAUACGAGUUUUUGAUUGUUAUUUUAAGGAAAGAAAAAUGGGUCAGGAACAAAGGAGUGGCUCAAAAAUAGUGAGAGUGUAUUUGCAAUAUACAGAAGAAACCACAGAAAGAAAAGCUCAGGAGAAUACCCCCAAAUUAUUUAAAAAUGGUUAUAUGUUUAGGUAAUAGUUGAAUGUUUUCAAAUGCUGCUGUGACCCUCUUAUGGAAGGUGCUGUUUCAAAUCCAGUUUUAGAGAAGCUUUCCACUUGAAAAGCCUAUCUACUAAAGAGAAAAUUAUGUAAAGCCCAUGAAUGAAUAUGAGCGUGAAAGUUUAGAGCAGAUGGGAGUCAACUCUGGCUACUCUACACAGGAUGUUGCUAAACUAUUCUUGAGCAGAGCAGCUGCAGUUUGUAACGAUGGUAGCUCUGAAGUGGGAUCAUCUUGUGCAUUUGACUGCUGAAUACUCGAUGAAACUGAAGAUGGAGAAUGCCUUAUUUUGUGGCAAAAUUGCUUACAUCCAAAAUCUUCAGGAAAAGUUGAGAUAGGCUUCAGAAAAUGACAUUUGUAGGCAGAAAUCAUUCAACAGCAAAGUUUGUGCACUUUGAUGGGAAAAAAAGCUUUUAUACCUGCUGAAGUUCUUUCCCCUCCUCUGACUGUGCAGGCUACCAUGAGUAAGUAAAGACUGUAUCAGACAUCCAGCUCUAGGCUGAUGCUGUGUUCAUCUGUUGCUGGCUAGCAGUGUCACUGUUUUACCAUAUGUGAAAGACAACUAACUGUGCUGUAGUGAGGAUGCCUCUAGUGGUACGCUUUGGCAUGCAGUUGCAGCUGUCAAUGUGCUUUGGUAUUACAAAGCAUUAGCCACUCAAACUGUCUUCCUCUCUGUCCUCUUCUGUAACUUCAUGUCCUGUUACCUUGUACAUCCACACAUCUGAUGGCAGUAUUUAGCCUGAUGUUGAUUAAUCUCCUGACAAAAUUAAGGCAUCAGAAAGCCAACAAGAAAGGAAGUGGACAGUUUUGGAAGUGGUAGGUCACUGGAGUUUCCUCUUCCAUGGUAAACUUGAAACUAACAAGUCCAUCUCCCUGGAUUACCACUUGCUUCCUUGUUUUUUGACAGUUCUUCACAAACAGGCAAGUGGUGAGUGCUCUUUCCACUCUCUCACAAAUUCUCAGGGACAUGUGCUGGGUACUUGAUACAAUCCCAGAACAAAUGCCUUCCCUGUCCUUGUGGGCAUAACGAUUUAUAUGUGAUCAUCUUCAACAGCCUGGAUGAUGUUGCAAUUACUUCAAAAUGAUUCAUUUUUAGUUUUAUAUGAUUUAUUGUUUGUAAUUUGUCUUUCUCACUUCUGCACUUUCUCACAUGUAUCCAGUAGAUAAAAUAUCUGACAUAUGGAUCCCAUUGUCUAUCUUUUCUCUGAUUGGUUCAGAAUAUUUUAGAAAUAGAAAUGACAUUACAUAUUCAUAUUAUUACAUUAUGUAUACAAACAUAACUUUGAAAUUCUCUUUCUAAUGUAACCAUUUGAAAAAGAUGGUGAAUCUGCUUUGCAGGGUUUUUGCUACAGAUCAACCAGCCUGUUAACCGGAGAGAAUGUAUGGCUUGUCUCACCAUUACAGCCUUGCCUGUGCGUGGCCAUAGCUCAGCGUGGAGGGAAAACCUAGAGAACCCCUUGUCAGAAUAUUCUUGGAAUGGUAUUUCAUGUUCUGUGUUUCCUAUAUAACUUUCUCUGUCUGGCUGAUCUUUGUAGGGAUAAGUUGUCCCCUUCAUUUUCUUUUAACAGCCGGUGUACAUUAAUAUGGUUUUUAAAAAGGUGACUGAUGAUAUUCUAUUAAAAAUAAUUAUGAAAAGUCUUA